UACGGAGGGUGCGAGCGUUGUCCGGAAUCACUGGGCGUAAGGGCGCGUAGGCGGCGCGGGAAGUCCGUGGUGAAAGCCCGAGGCUCAACUUCGGGUCGGCCAUGGAUACUCCUGGGCUCGAGCACUGUAGAGGCAGGUGGAAUUCCGGGUGUAGCGGUGGAAUGCGUAGAGAUCCGGAAGAACACCGGUGGCGAAGGCGGCCUGCUGGGCAGUGACCGUAAGGUCUAAAAGCUGACGCUGAGGCGCGCAGCGUGGGGAGAAACAGG
RNAcentral lists this ribosomal RNA (266 nucleotides) under uncultured bacterium. RNAcentral describes it as "partial 16S ribosomal RNA". It matches the Rfam family "Bacterial small subunit ribosomal RNA", at positions 524 to 776 of the family's 1533-position model. The record is from RNAcentral.